This 292-nucleotide ribosomal RNA is filed under the name uncultured bacterium. RNAcentral describes it as "partial 16S ribosomal RNA". The record is from RNAcentral.
GGACUACUAGGGUAUCUAAUCCUGUUCGCUACCCACGCUUUCGUGCCUCAGCGUCAGUUUGAGUCCAGAGAGCCGCCUUCGCUACAGGUGUUCCUUCCGAUAUCUACGCAUUUCACCGCUACACCGGAAAUUCCGCUCCCCUCUACUCAACUCCAGAAAACCAGUCUUAAUUGCAGUUCCUAGGUUAAGCCCAGGCCUUUCACAACUAACUUAAUCUCCCGCCUACGCACCCUUUACGCCCAGUAAGUCCGAUUAACGCUCGCACCCUCUGUAUUACCGCGGCUGCUGGCAC